GACGAACGCUGGCGGCGUGCUUAACACAUGCAAGUCGAACGGAAAGGCCCUGCUUUUGUGGGGUGCUCGAGUGGCGAACGGGUGAGUAACACGUGAGUAACCUGCCCUUGACUUUGGGAUAACUUCAGGAAACUGGGGCUAAUACCGGAUAGGAGCUCCUGCUGCAUGGUGGGGGUUGGAAAGUUUCGGCGGUUGGGGAUGUACUCGCGGCUCCUCAGCUUGUUGGGGGGGGAGUGGCUUACCAAGGCUUUGACGGGUAGCCGGCCUGUGAGGGUGACCGGCCCCAUUCCGACUGCAGUACGGCCCAGCCCCCUCCGGGAGGCAGCAGUGGGCACUAUGGCACACUGGGCGGAGGCAUUAUGCAGCAACGCCGCGUGCGGGAUGACGGCCUUCGGGUUGUAAACCGCUUUCGCCUGUGACGAAGCGUGAGUGACGGUAAUGGGUCAAGAAGCACCGGCUAACUACGUG
RNAcentral lists this ribosomal RNA (468 nucleotides) under uncultured bacterium. Its description in RNAcentral is "partial 16S ribosomal RNA". It matches the Rfam family "Bacterial small subunit ribosomal RNA", at positions 28 to 507 of the family's 1533-position model. The record is from RNAcentral.